This 734-nucleotide ribosomal RNA is filed under the name Lactococcus lactis. RNAcentral's name for it is "bacterial SSU rRNA". It matches the Rfam family "Bacterial small subunit ribosomal RNA", at positions 132 to 854 of the family's 1533-position model. Lineage: Bacteria; Bacillati; Bacillota; Bacilli; Lactobacillales; Streptococcaceae. The record is from RNAcentral.
UUGAGCGGGGGACAACAUUUGGAAACGAAUGCUAAUACCGCACAACAACUUUAAACACAAGUUUUAAGUUUGAAAGAUGCAAUUGCAUCACUCAAAGAUGAUCCCGCGUUGUAUUAGCUAGUUGGUGAGGUAAAGGCUCACCAAGGCGAUGAUACAUAGCCGACCUGAGAGGGUGAUCGGCCACAUUGGGACUGAGACACGGCCCAAACUCCUACGGGAGGCAGCAGUAGGGAAUCUUCGGCAAUGGACGAAAGUCUGACCGAGCAACGCCGCGUGAGUGAAGAAGGUUUUCGGAUCGUAAAACUCUGUUGGUAGAGAAGAACGUUGGUAAGAGUGGAAAGCUCAUCAAGUGACGGUAACUACCCAGAAAGGGACGGCUAACUACGUGCCAGCAGCCGCGGUAAUACGUAGGUCCCGAGCGUUGUCCGGAUUUAUUGGGCGUAAAGCGAGCGCAGGUGGUUUAUUAAGUCUGGUGUAAAAGGCAGUGGCUCAACCAUUGUAUGCAUUGGAAACUGGUAGACUUGAGUGCAGGAGAGGAGAGUGGAAUUCCAUGUGUAGCGGUGAAAUGCGUAGAUAUAUGGAGGAACACCGGUGGCGAAAGCGGCUCUCUGGCCUGUAACUGACACUGAGGCUCGAAAGCGUGGGGAGCAAACAGGAUUAGAUACCCUGGUAGUCCACGCCGUAAACGAUGAGUGCUAGAUGCAGGGAGCUAUAAGUUCUCUGUAUCGCAGCUA